CACAGGGCCUGAAGGCUAAGAAUGCUUCAGCAACCACCCUCAGGACUCCAGCUCAGGGAAUUUCACUACAAAUAGGCUCAGUGAGGGAUGGAGACUGCUUGCUUCAGUAUUUGAUACACCAAUGUACCACACCAAGGAACUCCCACACUCUGAAUGAACAGCCCAGUGAUCAGGAGCUUUGAAUCAAUUCUUGGCACCUAACACUUUGUGAAGAGUCUGCUAAACUCCCUCUAUCAGAAAUCCCAGAAGACUGAGAACAGGUCAUCCUUGGAGCUGUAUCUGAAUGGAGUCAGGAUCUGGAAGCCCAAGUCUCCUUGUCAAUGUCUGCUUGGUUCCCAAGGACACCUGUAAAUGGAAGAGGGGCAUAGUACACAGAAGACAUUGCUGGCAAGUGUGGUCUCUUUACGAUCGGGUGAGUCAUCUGCUGAAAUCUUUAUAAUAGACUUCUACCUUGAUGGAAUGGGUUGGACUAACGAGGAACCACCAUUACUCCAAGGCCCAGAGCAGAGCUGGGCCAUCAACUGUCUCCACACUUCCUGUCUUCUAGGUGCCACCCUGAUCCCUCAUUGCCUUUCAGCUGCAUGUCUAAAUCCCCACCCCACCCCUCAUCUAGUUGGCUUUGAUUCCAAGGACCUAGGACUGGAGUAGGGCUUUCACAAAUGAGACAGCAGGAAUGUAAUGCAACCUAAUGAGCAGACUAAGAAAGCAUCUAUACAGAAGAACAGACAUACAAAU
Long non-coding RNA from Gorilla gorilla gorilla (western lowland gorilla), 735 nucleotides. RefSeq lists it as uncharacterized. The transcript is spliced from 3 exons. The record is from RefSeq and is a predicted model, not a curated record. NCBI's taxonomy places the organism in Eukaryota, Metazoa, Chordata, Mammalia, Primates, Hominidae.